GAAGCGACCACGCGAGUGUGAGCGAAUCUCAAAAAUAACGUCUCAGUUCGGAUUGUAGUCUGCAACUCGACUACAUGAAGCUGGAAUCGCUAGUAAUCGCGGAUCAGAAUGCCGCGGUGAAUACGGUUCCCGGGUCUUGUACACACCGCCCGUCACACCAUGGGAGUCAGUAACGCCCGAAGCCGGUGACCCAACCUAACAAGGGAGGGAGCCGUCGAAGGCGGGACGGAUGACUGGGGUGAAGUCGUAACAAGGUAAC
This 259-nucleotide ribosomal RNA is filed under the name uncultured bacterium. RNAcentral's name for it is "partial 16S ribosomal RNA". It matches the Rfam family "Bacterial small subunit ribosomal RNA", at positions 1246 to 1500 of the family's 1533-position model. The record is from RNAcentral.